GCAGAUGCCUCUUUAGUGUCCCUAUUAUCGUGUUGACAACUUUUUGUCGCGUGUCAUGCUGCAAGUGAACUCUCCAAUCACACAUAUCUAUGGCAGGUUCUCCACCUGGAGCAGUAUACCUCGAAUUGCUGGAAUCCAUCAGAUUCUCCUGAACCUGGAGUUCAUUGCUACAGACACUAGAGUUGGAUUGCGCUGAAUUGGCCACAUCAUCUUGAGCAAUUGUCUCCAUAUCCAUUUUAAGCAUCUUCAAACUAGUUUUCCGAAGAUAAUCAGACUGACUUGUGGCAGCAUCAUAAAUCUCUUCCUCAAACCUUACAGCAAUUUUCUUCCGUUCUAGCAGUCCCUCUUCACUAGAAAAUGGCAGAUGUCUCUUUAGUGUCUUUGCUAUCUUAUCG
This 395-nucleotide unclassified non-coding RNA is filed under the name Hevea brasiliensis (rubber tree). The record is from RNAcentral. Lineage: Eukaryota; Viridiplantae; Streptophyta; Magnoliopsida; Malpighiales; Euphorbiaceae.